AGCUCACGCCUAGUUUCCUCGGCUUCAUCAGUCAAGACCGGACUAAAAAUAUCCGUGACUUAUUACACAUACGUAAUAUGGACCUGCUUGGAUCAUUUGUAGGUGACGCCUGGUUUACCCGGCAAAUUCCACUCCCUACACUAUUUUUUGCCUAAAAACACGGUGUUUCUCCCUACGCACUCCCUCCCAGAGGCUGGCGGGUGAUAACUGCUUACCUUUCUUCAUUAGAAAAGACAAAUUUCCUGAGCUUGAGGUCACCGAGUACGAUGGCCGACUGGUGGCAGUGAGCUACAGCAGAGACGAUCUGCUUGAAAAGCCGGGCAGCUUCCUCUUCCCGCAGCCUCUUGCAGCUCCUCACAUAGGAGUGCAUGUCCCCAAAGUCCUUUUCGAAGAAGACAUAGGCCUUGGUGUCUCCGAGGAUCACUUCUACGACCCCGGUGAUGUUCCUGUGUGAUGGCAGCUGAAUGUAAGGCCGGAUCUUGUCCUGGUAGUGUUUGAGAGGGAACACCUGUAAGGAGGAAAUUAAAGCAAAAUUCAUUUUCAAGGGCGUUGAAACCGGCCUCUCGCAUUGCAACUCUCCCCAAACAAUGAUGAGGGAGCUGGAAGAGCGCCAGCGCUCAGCGGCAGAGCUGUUUCCAGGACCCUUUCCAAGGCUGUUAAAGCACUGUUAAUGUUAUGUGGAAGGGGGCGAAAGACAAAACACCCCCCAGAGCCCUUAGUAUCCCCCAGGCGCCUUCCCGGUAUUCGAGGAAUCCCAACUGCUAGGCAGGGAGUUUGGGUUUGGAGCAGAGGCGACAGCCGGGGGGAUGCCUGUCACAGCUCUGAGACGUCCCAGCAGAGGGAAGGGUCUUGCCCAGCACACAUUGGCUAGGGCCAUGGCAAGUUACUGGCUUGCAACACAGAAUCUGGUAGCAUCUAUGCGUAUGAUUCUUCUCUGAGCAUUGCUGUGACCAUGUUCAUGUCUUUGAGAUAAUAUAUGUUAACAGUAAGUAUUUUUUGACCAGAUAUAAAUGAUUAUAUAGGAAUAUAUAUAUAAAAUGCAAGA
Molecule: long non-coding RNA, 1045 nt
Filed under: Apteryx owenii (little spotted kiwi)
Lineage: Eukaryota; Metazoa; Chordata; Aves; Apterygiformes; Apterygidae
Description: lncRNA (ENSAOWG00000013091.1)
Source: RNAcentral